RNAcentral lists this ribosomal RNA (254 nucleotides) under uncultured bacterium. Its description in RNAcentral is "partial 16S ribosomal RNA". It matches the Rfam family "Bacterial small subunit ribosomal RNA", at positions 524 to 776 of the family's 1533-position model. The record is from RNAcentral.
UACAGAGGGGGCAAGCGUUGUUCGGAAUUACUGGGCGUAAAGGGCGCGCAGGCGGCUGCUCAAGUCAGGCGUGAAAGGCCUGGGCUCAACCCGGGAAUUGCGCUUGAGACUGGGCUGGCUUGAGUGCGGGAGAGGAUGGUGGAAUUCCGAGUGUAGAGGUGAAAUUCGUAGAUAUUCGGAAGAACACCAGUGGCGAAGGCGACUCACUGGACAUGUAUUGACGCUGAGGUGCGAAAGCGUGGGGAGCAAACAGG